GAUGAACGCUGGCGGCGUGCCUAAUACAUGCAAGUCGAGCGAACGGACGAGAAGCUUGCUUCUCUGAUGUUAGCGGCGGACGGGUGAGUAACACGUGGAUAACCUACCUAUAAGACUGGGAUAACUUCGGGAAACCGGAGCUAAUACCGGAUGAUAUUUUGAACCGCAUGGUUCAAAGGUGAAAGACGGUCUUGCUGUCACUUAUAGAUGGAUCCGCGCUGCAUUAGCUAGUUGGUAAGGUAACGGCUUACCAAGGCAACGAUGCAUAGCCGACCUGAGAGGGUGAUCGGCCACACUGGAACUGAGACACGGUCCAGACUCCUACGGGAGGCAGCAGUAGGGAAUCUUCCGCAAUGGGCGAAAGCCUGACGGAGCAACGCCGCGUGAGUGAUGAAGGUCUUCGGAUCGUAAAACUCUGUUAUUAGGGAAGAACAUAUGUGUAAGUAACUGUGCACAUCUUGACGGGACCUAAUCAGAAAGCCACGGCUAACUACG
This 495-nucleotide ribosomal RNA is filed under the name uncultured bacterium. Its description in RNAcentral is "partial 16S ribosomal RNA". It matches the Rfam family "Bacterial small subunit ribosomal RNA", at positions 28 to 505 of the family's 1533-position model. The record is from RNAcentral.